AUGACGCGAAUCCUCCAUUGUUCAGUACUUACCCCCAAAUCGACGAACAGGUCUCCAACUUUUCCCUCUCUUUCAUUUUCAUUUUUGAACAGCGCCUCUCUUUCCCUCUCUUUCUCUGAAGGUCUGAAGGUCUCCCAACUGCGAUUUCGAACCGGUGUAGGUCUCCCACCUCCGAGUCGCAUGAAUUUGAAGAUCACCGUAGCUUUAUUCACUCCGAUUGCAGUGAGGUUUUGCAAUAAUGAAAAAAAUUGUAUCUAAUAAGUCACUAAGCCUACCACCAGAGCAAUUACUGGUACUACAUGUUCAUCGUCAUCAACAUCAUCUUCUAGCGAUUCACAAUCUCUUGAGAUUUAUGAGGUAUCUAUCUUCAUCUCCGUUGUAAUAGUGUUUGUAUGCAUUAUAGCAGAGACUCCUUAGUAUACAUUGUAGUAGAAUCAUAUGUAGCUAAUUGAAAUAUCUAUCAACAUCAAUUAAUAAGUCUUUCGUCAAAAUGAUUGUGAGAAAGAAGAUUCAUUUUAGUUGGCUUUUUGCAUUUGCAUUUUGCUUAGUUUUUCAUUUCAAAUAUAAUGCACUCAAGGUGUUUGAAAAUAUUACUACUAGAAAUAAUUAAGCAAAAACAAGAAACUUUAAACACAAAUUUUUAUUUCUGUUAGAACUUGCUCUCGAGACUCCUUAGUAUACCAUAUAGAAUAUGUGUGUGUAUAUAUAUCUACUUAGUAUCUGAAGUGUUUCUUCUCACGUUAUGUUGUCAUGAUCGAAAAGGGCUUUUACAUGGUAAAAUCUUUUAGCUAAUUUACUUAUCUAAAUCUCUUUCUAGCUUAUAAGUAAAGUAUUGUCUCUUGAUAUUAUGGCUUAGACUUGUAUGAUUAUCAUGUUGCUUUGUAACUUAAUAGAUCUCCGGUUUUAGUAAUUGCCAAGAUAUAAGCUCUACCACCAAAUUCUCUUACAUGUUCUUGUUAUAUGAUUUAUGUCUUCAAUUUACUAUCAAUAUUUUAUUGUCUAUUUUUGUGCUUUAGUAUCUGUGAGAAUUGUGGCUUGGUAGCUCCCUGUCCUGGAAAAGGUGAAAUUCUUUUGCUUUCCCUCACCAACAAAUCGGGUCCUUAAUUUUCUAGUUCUCUACAUCUGUUCCUCCUUAUCUACAUCUUAAUUAGAAUUACCUUGUGAUUUUAAAAGGCUGAUUGAUUUUAAAAUUUUCUUAUGAUAGCUUAAUCUAGUUCUGGUGAUUUUGUGAUUUUGUGAUUCAUUGUCAUAGUCAUUUUUAAUUUAUUUAUGUAUGUGUAAUACUAUAGGACUUGCUCUGCUCCUAAUCCUAAUCAUGUAGAGAUGUUUUUGUUGUUUGUCUUCAGACUCUGCCUUAUUUCUUUUUAAUAAAUUUCUGAUUUUAAUAAAAUGCACACAUAUAUAUAUAUAUAUGAACAAGUGUUAAUAAUUCAUUGGUCAUAUAUGUUUUGAUAGGCCUUAGCACAAGAAUCUCUUUUUCUAUGGUUUAUUCAUUACAGUUUGCAAUUUCAAUUUGAGGUAUGAAACAGUUUCCAAUUCAAGUGUGUUUAUUUUAUUUUGUUUGGUUAUAUUAUGUAAUGAUUUGUUUAUUUCAUGGAUGUUCCAAUUUCACAAUUUUUUUAAAAUAUGUGAACCCAUACCCAGCUUAGGGAAAAAUGAACACUGCCAUAUAUGUGUUCUUCUUUAAAUGCUAAAUAUAUUUAUGUUUUCAUUCUUUUUCAGUUUUAUUUAUUGUAAGUAUAACAUAUAAAGUUAUAGGUCAUUGAAUACUGCACGCAUCCUUUGGGAAAUUCUGGUGCUGAAGGUCGUCGAGCCCUUAUUCGCAACAUGUGGACUGAGCGAAUACAAGGAGCAAAACACAAUGUUGAGGUUUGGCAAGUACUUUUAGCUGUUAGAGCACUUGUGCUUCCACCUACUGAAGAUACGAAUAACUGGCUUAAGUUUGCUUCACUAUGUCGACAAAGUGUACGGAUUAGUCAAGCUAGGUCCACUCUAGUGAAGCUCUUACAGGUCGGUGGUGUAUAAUGGCUUUAUUGAGGUUGCUAUAUAGUAACGAGUUAGACGUUAGACGCUCUCUAUAGUAACGAGGAGAUCAAUGCUGUACGGGAUGAGUGGGCCGAAUUUGUGAAGCCUUUGAUUAUAGAUUAAGUACUUAAAGUUACUACACUUUUGUUAUAAUACAUGAGUAACAAGUUUUAGGAUUAUUGUUAUCUUUUGCAUAUGUUAUUAGUUUAUAUUUAGUUUACGAUAUACAUGGAAUUUAAGUUUUAGAAUCGAUUUUAUUAACAAUUUUGGUAUUGUGUGAUUAGUUAAUAGAAUCGAUUACUAAUUUUAUAUAAGUUUUAAAAAUAUUAUUUUAAUUUUUUUGUAUUAUGUAUUUACU
Long non-coding RNA from Cannabis sativa, 2383 nucleotides. RefSeq lists it as uncharacterized. Lineage: Eukaryota; Viridiplantae; Streptophyta; Magnoliopsida; Rosales; Cannabaceae. The record is from RefSeq and is a predicted model, not a curated record. The transcript has 3 exons.